GAUCUUAAGUCUAUAGUGUGGAGACACUUGGAUGAAAGUGUAGGUAGUUGUUAGAGAACAACUUGCACUGAACAUGACCAACAUGAGAAACCACUUGGAUAUCUACUCACUCGUUAGUGAUUUUCUCAAUACUGUAGUAGUGUGACUGGUCCUUUGAUCUACAAUGUAUUGGCUAUUCACAAUGAGACUACUUAGUUUGACUGCACAUUCCUUUGGUCCCUAGCUAUUUGGGUCCUUGCUAUGUAUGUUGGCUAUUGUAGGUUUAUAUUCGCUGUCUGGAGUAGGAUGUACCUAGAUGGAAUCUAUUGAUUUUGAUAGAAAAGGAGUAAUUCUAUGCAAUUCGUAAGACUGAAUUCAGGAAGUCUCAGGCCAAAGCAAGAGUGAAUAUUGGAAAAAAAAAUUUAUGAGAUUCACAAGUGAACUCGAGUCGAGCCAAUCUUGCAUAUGACUGAUGAUGGGGUUUGAUGAGUUUUUCAUGACCUCCAUCAAGUCGAAACUCACGAUAGAAGGACUGAAUCACAUGGUAACUGCAUAUAGGGAUUCAUACUUUCAUUCUCU
RNAcentral lists this long non-coding RNA (558 nucleotides) under Elaeis guineensis (African oil palm). Its description in RNAcentral is "long non-coding RNA (EGUI_LNC064573)". Lineage: Eukaryota; Viridiplantae; Streptophyta; Magnoliopsida; Arecales; Arecaceae. The record is from RNAcentral.